UACCUCAAAAUUCCGCAACAGUCUGUUUCAUCAGUAAAGAAUCAUCAGACGGUUUGGAGAUACCGCAUGAUGAUUCUUUACUGAUGAAACAGACUGUUGCGGAAUUU
Molecule: non-coding RNA, 107 nt
Organism: Paramuricea clavata
Lineage: Eukaryota; Metazoa; Cnidaria; Anthozoa; Malacalcyonacea; Plexauridae
Source: the annotation of a GenBank genome assembly